Long non-coding RNA from Saccostrea cuccullata (small rock oyster), 837 nucleotides. RefSeq lists it as uncharacterized. NCBI's taxonomy places the organism in Eukaryota, Metazoa, Mollusca, Bivalvia, Ostreida, Ostreidae. The transcript is spliced from 4 exons. The record is from RefSeq and is a predicted model, not a curated record.
GUUCGGGAGUGCUCUAUGGUUAUCGACGUCCAAAUAACCUAUAACGCCCGAGAUUGCCAAAUAUAGCCUAUUUGUACUGCAAGAAAUUACGUCUUCAACAAAACUUAUUCAUACGAUUACCCAGACUGAGACUGAAGGGAUCAAAGAUUCAUUAAACGGUUAUACACUGCAUGAAGCAAAGAGGAUACUGAAUAGCCACCUGGUGAAGACUGAAGACACAAGAUGGGAAAGCACAAACAUGUCUGUGUAAAAUACAAAUAAAUAUUUAGCCAUAGGUACCUGCAGAUAUAUUUUAUAAGGAAUAAAUGUUUAUAAAAGCUCAGCGCCCACUGAUGCUUGAGUGUGGAGUCUAUGUUGUUGAAAAGACAUGAGAAAUAGAAGUCAUGAAGAUGAAUGAAGAUGGCGAUCAAGUCUCUUUCCUAAAAUUUCUGAGGAAAAAGGUGUUGUCUAGAUCAUCUAGUGAUCAUUCCAUUGGCAAACUACCAGGUUCCAAUCUGAAGUAUACGUAGGAAGAGUAAAAUCUUUUUCAUUCAUAUAAACACUUACUAGCUGUGAUCCAGCAGAAUGUUCUGAUUGUUUUGUCCUACAUAAGAUGAAUUUAAAUCUGACACAUUAUACUGAAAAAUUGAGUGAACUGUCUUCUUCAUGCAGGCAUGUCUUUGUUACAACAUCUCUACUCUGCAUGGUUAUCAUAACUUCAAACUCUAGUGAAUUAUGUAACCAGUUACCUAUAAAAACAUCAUUUUGUAAUUAGUAAUAAAAGUAUUUAAUCAAAUAUUCUAUGCUUCAGUCAUUAUUACAUUUUUGAUCACUGUUUGUUUAUUCUUUCAAAUGGUG